GACGAACGCUGGCGGCGUGCUUAACACAUGCAAGUCGAACGGAAAGGCCCUGCUUUUGUGGGGUGCUCGAGUGGCGAACGGGUGAGUAACACGUGAGUAACCUGCCCUUGACUUUGGGAUAACUUCAGGAAACUGGGGCUAAUACCGGAUAGGAGCUCCUGCUGCAUGGUGGGGGUUGGAAAGUUUCGGCGGUUGGGGAUGGACUCGCGGCUUAUCAGCUUGUUGGUGGGGUAGUGGCUUACCAAGGCUUUGACGGGUAGCCGGCCUGAGAGGGUGACCGGCCACAUUGGGACUGAGAUACGGCCCAGACUCCUACGGGAGGCAGCAGUGGGGAAUAUUGCACAAUGGGCGGAAGCCUGAUGCAGCAGCGCCGCGUGCGGGAUGACGGCCCUCGGGUUGUAAACCGCUUUCGCCUGUGACGAAGCGUGAGUGACGGUAAUGGGUAAAGAAGCACCGGCUAACUACGUG
This 468-nucleotide ribosomal RNA is filed under the name uncultured bacterium. Its description in RNAcentral is "partial 16S ribosomal RNA". It matches the Rfam family "Bacterial small subunit ribosomal RNA", at positions 28 to 507 of the family's 1533-position model. The record is from RNAcentral.